AUGUACAAAAUCUAUCCAGAUAAUAAGAAAAUAUUAAAAAUUCAUAAUAUCAUUAUUCACAGACACUUAAUUUUGGACGAAGUUCAUCGAUCCGGCAACCAGUCAGUGAUGCAGAUGAUACUAUCAUCUACACAACCAAUGCCCAAGGAAUUUUCUUAUUUACUCCCCAAAACCCAGAAAAUAGAAGAAAAAAACAUAAACAACACUGCUCCAAGUGUAUAUUUAUUUAUAUUGGCUUCUUCAGUUGUAGGUAGAUUGAUCCCUUGA
Molecule: non-coding RNA, 267 nt
Organism: Vicia faba (fava bean)
Lineage: Eukaryota; Viridiplantae; Streptophyta; Magnoliopsida; Fabales; Fabaceae
Source: the annotation of a GenBank genome assembly